Molecule: long non-coding RNA, 1491 nt
Organism: Cyprinus carpio (common carp)
Lineage: Eukaryota; Metazoa; Chordata; Actinopteri; Cypriniformes; Cyprinidae
Source: Ensembl
UCGCGUCACUCAAAGUCUGCAAACAGAGGCAAACAUCAAGCACUGUCAUAUUAACUCCUUCCAUCUCGAAUGGGUUAGCUAGCUCAUGUCAUGUGGGUAGGCAUAUGUCUCUCUCUCUCUCUAUCUCUCUCCCUACCGCAGCCAACCCCAAUGCACUCUAAUAGUAAAAGUAGCAGCUCACAAACACAACACUGUAGAAAUGCAAUGAUGACACUUAAAUGUGUGUAACGUUAUAUCAAAUCGGCAGGCUGAGUUAAUGUUUUCGUUUAAGCGUAAAAACGCGUGCAAGGCAGGCAACAGUCGCCUUUAUUAAUGGUUCAUGAAGGCAAAGAACGAAGCUUUACUUACUCGGUCGCUUGAAUAAACGUGUUAUCCAUGAGGAAUCCGGUCAGAGUAAUCGCAUACAAUUUGAAAAGCCAAAAAAUAAAACAAAACAAAAAAAUCGCGUAGCUGUCGCCGAUAGCUUUCUGUGAAAAUCCCAAAGACUCCAAGUGCCCACCGCCCUUCAAACGUCCAUCUCUUUUAUAAUAAACAAACCGGGGUAAAGACAAAAAGCUUGAAGGAGGAGAUGGACGGACUUGUCGCCCGCGCGCUGCCUCGUUUGCUUAUUUUGUCCGCGCGCGUUGGGAAGCCGCGGAGAGAAUCGAUGCGAUAGGUGUUUGAUUGGGUAUUCCUGCUUGUAAUAACGCACACCAGAAGGAGGGGAUGGACUCGGGCUGCGCCUCAGCUGCUGCUGCGAGAGCAUGGAUCACUGAGCUAUUGCCAAACACUUUCUUGACCGCUAAUAGCACUUUUUAGCCUUCUUUGUGGGGCUCGUAGCAGGUAGGCUAUUUAAAAACAGCAACUGGCGAAGCAGACGCGUCUUCCUCUCGCGCUCUCCAGUAAUGUCACUUCCGAAAAUCCUUUAUCAAACACUUUCUUCACAGAAUGGACUUUUUAAGACGAGAAGUGGGCAUCCUGAGGAAUGAAAUGAAUAAGACUUGUGAUGCGAUGUCUUGAAUUCAGGGCAAAAUUUGGGAACUAUCAUGCAUGGUCUUCUCCCUGGACACCUCAAGCAGAUAUUAUUCAGUCUUCUCUCUCUGGGUAUAUCUUUCCCAUCAAUAGGACAGAGACAUAUAAAGUAGAACAAAGAGAGAGUCAGGGUUUAAAAAUGAAAAUAAACAAUAAGCAUGAAAAAUGAGUUGUGUACUUGUUGAUAAAUGAAAAUAUGAAAUCAAUCAGUCAUCUUUAAUGAAACAUCAGCUGAAUACCGCACAGUCUUACUGUUUUAGAAUGCGGUUAUAUAAUGUUCACCAGGUCAGCUAGGCCACUUCAUUGAAGGGAUAGACUGCUGCCCUCUUUCCUGAAGAGGACACUCCACUUGUGGUCCUUGGUGAAUGAAACAACUACUUGGAAAAGCCGCAAGCAGCAGCCUUCCCGAGCUACUCACAAAACAGGCAACCAUCUCGAUUGCAUUUAAAAAUAAAUAAAUAAAUCAGUAGAUAAAUACCA